This 1540-nucleotide ribosomal RNA is filed under the name Staphylococcus aureus M0307. Its description in RNAcentral is "16S ribosomal RNA". It matches the Rfam family "Bacterial small subunit ribosomal RNA". Lineage: Bacteria; Bacillati; Bacillota; Bacilli; Caryophanales; Staphylococcaceae. The record is from RNAcentral.
AGAGUUUGAUCCUGGCUCAGGAUGAACGCUGGCGGCGUGCCUAAUACAUGCAAGUCGAGCGAACGGACGAGAAGCUUGCUUCUCUGAUGUUAGCGGCGGACGGGUGAGUAACACGUGGAUAACCUACCUAUAAGACUGGGAUAACUUCGGGAAACCGGAGCUAAUACCGGAUAAUAUUUUGAACCGCAUGGUUCAAAAGUGAAAGACGGUCUUGCUGUCACUUAUAGAUGGAUCCGCGCUGCAUUAGCUAGUUGGUAAGGUAACGGCUUACCAAGGCAACGAUGCAUAGCCGACCUGAGAGGGUGAUCGGCCACACUGGAACUGAGACACGGUCCAGACUCCUACGGGAGGCAGCAGUAGGGAAUCUUCCGCAAUGGGCGAAAGCCUGACGGAGCAACGCCGCGUGAGUGAUGAAGGUCUUCGGAUCGUAAAACUCUGUUAUUAGGGAAGAACAUAUGUGUAAGUAACUGUGCACAUCUUGACGGUACCUAAUCAGAAAGCCACGGCUAACUACGUGCCAGCAGCCGCGGUAAUACGUAGGUGGCAAGCGUUAUCCGGAAUUAUUGGGCGUAAAGCGCGCGUAGGCGGUUUUUUAAGUCUGAUGUGAAAGCCCACGGCUCAACCGUGGAGGGUCAUUGGAAACUGGAAAACUUGAGUGCAGAAGAGGAAAGUGGAAUUCCAUGUGUAGCGGUGAAAUGCGCAGAGAUAUGGAGGAACACCAGUGGCGAAGGCGACUUUCUGGUCUGUAACUGACGCUGAUGUGCGAAAGCGUGGGGAUCAAACAGGAUUAGAUACCCUGGUAGUCCACGCCGUAAACGAUGAGUGCUAAGUGUUAGGGGGUUUCCGCCCCUUAGUGCUGCAGCUAACGCAUUAAGCACUCCGCCUGGGGAGUACGACCGCAAGGUUGAAACUCAAAGGAAUUGACGGGGACCCGCACAAGCGAUGGAGCAUGUGGUUUAAUUCGAAGCAACGCGAAGAACCUUACCAAAUCUUGACAUCCUUUGACAACUCUAGAGAUAGAGCUUUCCCCUUCGGGGGACAAAGUGACAGGUGGUGCAUGGUUGUCGUCAGCUCGUGUCGUGAGAUGUUGGGUUAAGUCCCGCAACGAGCGCAACCCUUAAGCUUAGUUGCCAUCAUUAAGUUGGGCACUCUAAGUUGACUGCCGGUGACAAACCGGAGGAAGGUGGGGAUGACGUCAAAUCAUCAUGCCCCUUAUGAUUUGGGCUACACACGUGCUACAAUGGACAAUACAAAGGGCAGCGAAACCGCGAGGUCAAGCAAAUCCCAUAAAGUUGUUCUCAGUUCGGAUUGUAGUCUGCAACUCGACUACAUGAAGCUGGAAUCGCUAGUAAUCGUAGAUCAGCAUGCUACGGUGAAUACGUUCCCGGGUCUUGUACACACCGCCCGUCACACCACGAGAGUUUGUAACACCCGAAGCCGGUGGAGUAACCUUUUAGGAGCUAGCCGUCGAAGGUGGGACAAAUGAUUGGGGUGAAGUCGUAACAAGGUAGCCGUAUCGGAAGGUGCGGCUGGAUCACCU